GCUAAAUACGUGCCAGCAGCCGCGGUAAUACGUAUGUCCCGAGCGUUAUCCGGAUUUAUUGGGCGUAAAGCGAGCGCAGACGGUUUAUUAAGUCUGAUGUGAAAUCCCGAGGCCCAACCUCGGAACUGCAUUGGAAACUGAUUUACUUGAGUGCGAUAGAGGCAAGUGGAACUCCAUGUGUAGCGGUGAAAUGCGUAGAUAUGUGGAAGAACACCAGUGGCGAAAGCGGCUUGCUAGAUCGUAACUGACGUUGAGGCUCGAAAGUAUGGGUAGCAAACGGGAUUAGAUACCCCGGUAGUCCAUACCGUAAACGAUGGGUGCUAGUUGUUAAGAGGUUUCCGCCUCCUAGUGACGUAGCAAACGCAUUAAGCACCCCGCCUGAGGAGUACGGCCGCAAGGCUAAAACUUAAAGGAAUUGACGGGGACCCGCACAAGCGGUGGAGCAUGUGGUUUAAUUCGAAGAUACGCGAAAAACCUUACCAGGUCUUGACAUACCAAUGAUCGCUUUUGUAAUGAAAGCUUUUCUUCGGAACAUUGGAUACAGGUGGUGCAUGGUCGUCGUCAGCUCGUGUCGUGAGAUGUUGGGUUAAGUCCCGCAACGAGCGCAACCCUUGUUAUUAGUUGCCAGCAUUUAGUUGGGCACUCUAAUGAGACUGCCGGUGAUAAACCGGAGGAAGGUGGGGACGACGUCAGAUCAUCAUGCCCCUUAUGACCUGGGCAACACACGUGCUACAAUGGGAAGUACAACGAGUCGCAAACCGGCGACGGUAAGCUAAUCUCUUAAAACUUCUCUCAGUUCGGACUGGAGUCUGCAACUCGACUCCACGAAGGCGGAAUCGCUAGUAAUCGCGAAUCAGCAUGUCGCGGUGAAUACGUUCCCGGGUCUUGUACACACCGCCCGUCAAAUCAUGGGAGUCGGAAGUACCCAAAGUCGCUUGGCUAACUUUUAGAGGCCGGUGCCUAAGGUAAAAUCGAUGACUGGGAUUAAGUCGUAACAAGGUAGCCGUAGGAGAACCUGCGGCUGGAUCACCUCCUUUCUAAGGA
Molecule: ribosomal RNA, 1044 nt
Filed under: Oenococcus oeni
Lineage: Bacteria; Bacillati; Bacillota; Bacilli; Lactobacillales; Lactobacillaceae
Description: bacterial SSU rRNA
Rfam family: Bacterial small subunit ribosomal RNA
Source: RNAcentral